Molecule: long non-coding RNA, 887 nt
Organism: Callorhinchus milii (elephant shark)
Lineage: Eukaryota; Metazoa; Chordata; Chondrichthyes; Chimaeriformes; Callorhinchidae
Exons: 3
Source: RefSeq, a predicted model, not a curated record
GCUCUGCCAACUCAUGAAACAAGCCUGUUUGUCCCAUGACAUACUGCAAAACACCAGGUGCAGUAUAAAGAGCUCACACAGAGCCUUGAUUCUGUUAAACAACUGAUCCACUUUGCACUUUCCUAACACAGCAAAUUGUCACAUCCAUAAACAUCGCCUUCUCAGGCAAACACCCACCGAGAACACCAGAGAGGAAUGAACAUUUGAACAAAUCCAGAUGCGGAGUAUCCAAUCCACCACAAUCCCACAUGGUCUCACAAAGCUGGAGAUCCUGCCCUUGAAAGGGCUGUGCUGCUUCUUGUAAACAGCCUAAUCCAGGCCAGGUUGGCUCAUUUAUAGCAGAUUGAGUUUGAUGUGCUAGGAUGUGACAGGUGGACCCCCAGGACCGGAUGUUGUUUGUGGGGGUGGGAUGGGAGGCUGGGAGGCAGGGAGGGAGAAGAAGAAAUCCCUCCUGUCAGUCAACUACUAAUGUCAGAAGAAUUCAUCCAAUCCUCCCUCUGUCAGUCUCUUUAAGUUACGUGUUUGCUGGCUACUAAUAUGUCAUCUCAAGAUUAUCUCCCACUAUCAGCAGCAGGAUUUUCAAGCCAUAGAUAGUAUGAAGACACAGAUACAACGCGUAACAAGAUAGCAUAGGUCCGUGGAUGCCAGGCAGAACUCAGGCUCACUCCAACGUGGUUUUGAAGCACCUGUGCAGAAAUACUAGAGCGAAGCCACAAAUGGUACAAUGAAAAACUGAAUGUUUUUCCAACAGAAAAGAUAUUGGGACUGUUAUAAAUAAAAUAUGUUUAUGGCGUAGUGUUUGGUGUGUACGUGUGUGUAAGGGGGCAGUAACUAGAUAGUACAGUAGAUUACAACACCCUCCUGUCAGCUAUGCGACUUGAGUUCAU